This 75-nucleotide transfer RNA is filed under the name Falsiroseomonas frigidaquae. RNAcentral's name for it is "tRNA-Val". It matches the Rfam family "tRNA". From Rfam's summary of the family: Transfer RNA (tRNA) molecules are approximately 80 nucleotides in length. The record is from RNAcentral. Lineage: Bacteria; Pseudomonadati; Pseudomonadota; Alphaproteobacteria; Acetobacterales; Roseomonadaceae.
GGGCGCUUAGCUCAGCGGUAGAGCGCCUGUUUUACACACAGGUGGUCGGCGGUUCGAUCCCGUCAGCGCCCACCA